RNAcentral lists this ribosomal RNA (742 nucleotides) under Armadillidium vulgare (common pillbug). RNAcentral's name for it is "bacterial SSU rRNA". It matches the Rfam family "Bacterial small subunit ribosomal RNA", at positions 643 to 1384 of the family's 1533-position model. Lineage: Eukaryota; Metazoa; Arthropoda; Malacostraca; Isopoda; Armadillidiidae. The record is from RNAcentral.
AGAGAUUGAAAGAGGAUAGAGGAAUUCCUAGUGUAGAGGUAAAAUUCGUAAAUAUUAGGAGGAACACCAGUGGCGAAGGCGUCUAUCUGGUUCAAAUCUGACGCUGAGGCGCGAAGGCGUGGGGAGCAAACAGGAUUAGAUACCCUGGUAGUCCACGCUGUAAACGAUGAAUGUUAAAUAUGGGAAAUUUAUUUUCUGUAUUACAGCUAACGCGUUAAACAUUCCGCCUGGGGACUACGGUCGCAAGAUUAAAACUCAAAGGAAUUGACGGGGACCCGCACAAGCGGUGGAGCAUGUGGUUUAAUUCGAUGCAACGCGAAAAACCUUACCACUCCUUGACAUGGAAAUCAUACCUAUUCGAAGGGAUAGGGUCGGUUCGGCCGGAUUUCACACAGGUGUUGCAUGGCUGUCGUCAACUCGUGUCGUGAGAUGUUGGGUUAAGUCCCGCAACGAGCGCAACCCUCAUCCUUAGUUACCAUCAGAUAAUGCUGGGGACUUUAAGGAAACUGCUAGUGAUAAACUGGAGGAAGGUGGGGAUGAUGUCAAGUCAUCAUGGCCCUUAUGGAGUGGGCUACACACGUGCUACAAUGGUGGCUACAAUGGGCUGCAAAGUCGCGAGGCUAAGCUAAUCCCUUAAAAGCCAUCUCAGUUCGGAUUGCACUCUGCAACUCGAGUGCAUGAAGUUGGAAUCGCUAGUAAUCGUGGAUCAGCAUGCCACGGUGAAUACGUUCUCGGGUCUUGU